RNAcentral lists this ribosomal RNA (700 nucleotides) under uncultured bacterium. Its description in RNAcentral is "bacterial SSU rRNA". It matches the Rfam family "Bacterial small subunit ribosomal RNA", at positions 94 to 823 of the family's 1533-position model. The record is from RNAcentral.
AGUGGCGGACGGGUGAGUAACACGUAAGAAUUUGCCUUUAGGAGGGGGACAACAACUGGAAACGGUUGCUAAUACCCCAUAUGCUUUCGAGUGAAACGGAUUUUUCCGCCUAAAGAGAAGCUUGCGGCUGAUUAGCUUGUUGGUGAGGUAAUGGCUCACCAAGGCGACGAUCAGUAUCUGGUUUGAGAGGACGAUCAGACACACUGGAACUGAGACACGGUCCAGACUCCUACGGGAGGCAGCAGUGGGGAAUUUUCCGCAAUGGGCGAAAGCCUGACGGAGCAAUACCGCGUGAGGGAUGACGGCCUAUGGGUUGUAAACCUCUUUUUUCAGGGAGGAAUCAAAUGACGUGUACCUGAAGAAUAAGCAUCGGCUAACUCCGUGCCAGCAGCCGCGGUAAGACGGGGGAUGCAAGUGUUAUCCGGAAUCACUGGGCGUAAAGCGUCUGUAGGUGGUCAAAUAAGUCAACUGUUAAAUCUUGAGGCUCAACCUCAAAAUCGCAGUCGAAACUAUUAGACUAGAGUAUAGUAGGGGUAAAGGGAAUUUCCAGUGGAGCGGUGAAAUGCGUAGAGAUUGGAAAGAACGCCGAUGGCGAAGGCACUUUACUGGGCUAUUACUAACACUCAGAGACGAAAGCUAGGGUAGCAAAUGGGAUUAGAUACCCCAGUAGUCCUAGCCGUAAACAAUGGAUACUAGAUGU